AGAGUUUGAUCCUGGCUCAGGAUGAACGCUGGCGGCGUGCUUAACACAUGCAAGUCGAACGAUGAUCCGGUGCUUGCACCGGGGAUUAGUGGCGAACGGGUGAGUAACACGUGAGUAACCUGCCCUUAACUCUGGGAUAAGCCUGGGAAACUGGGUCUAAUACCGGAUAUGACUCCUCAUCGCAUGGUGGGGGGUGGAAAGCUUUUUUGUGGUUUUGGAUGGACUCGCGGCCUAUCAGCUUGUUGGUGAGGUAAUGGCUUACCAAGGCGACGACGGGUAGCCGGCCUGAGAGGGUGACCGGCCACACUGGGACUGAGACACGGCCCAGACUCCUACGGGAGGCAGCAGUGGGGAAUAUUGCACAAUGGGCGCAAGCCUGAUGCAGCGACGCCGCGUGAGGGAUGACGGCCUUCGGGUUGUAAACCUCUUUCAGUAGGGAAGAAGCGAAAGUGACGGUACCUGCAGAAGAAGCGCCGGCUAACUACGUGCCAGCAGCCGCGGUAAUACGUAGGGCGCAAGCGUUAUCCGGAAUUAUUGGGCGUAAAGAGCUCGUAGGCGGUUUGUCGCGUCUGCCGUGAAAGUCCGGGGCUCAACUCCGGAUCUGCGGUGGGUACGGGCAGACUAGAGUGAUGUAGGGGAGACUGGAAUUCCUGGUGUAGCGGUGAAAUGCGCAGAUAUCAGGAGGAACACCGAUGGCGAAGGCAGGNNNAC
This 711-nucleotide ribosomal RNA is filed under the name Arthrobacter humicola. RNAcentral describes it as "bacterial SSU rRNA". It matches the Rfam family "Bacterial small subunit ribosomal RNA", at positions 8 to 730 of the family's 1533-position model. Lineage: Bacteria; Bacillati; Actinomycetota; Actinomycetes; Micrococcales; Micrococcaceae. The record is from RNAcentral.